UACGGAGGGUGCGAGCGUUAAUCGGAAUCACUGGGCGUAAAGCGCACGUAGGCGGCGCAUCAAUUCAUACUUUCCCUCCCUCUUCUCCCCCUAUUAAUUGCGUUUGAAACUGGUGUGCUGGAGUCUCGGAGAGGUUGGCGGAAUUCCAGGUGUAGGAGUGAAAUCCGUAGAUAUCUGGAGGAACACCGGUGGCGAAGGCGGCCAACUGGACGAGUACUGACGCUGAGGUG
This 230-nucleotide ribosomal RNA is filed under the name uncultured microorganism. RNAcentral describes it as "partial 16S ribosomal RNA". It matches the Rfam family "Bacterial small subunit ribosomal RNA", at positions 524 to 753 of the family's 1533-position model. The record is from RNAcentral.